Molecule: ribosomal RNA, 490 nt
Filed under: uncultured bacterium
Lineage: Bacteria
Description: partial 16S ribosomal RNA
Rfam family: Bacterial small subunit ribosomal RNA
Source: RNAcentral
AUUGAACGCUGGCGGCAUGCUUUACACAUGCAAGUCGAACGGCAGCGGGGUAGUGCUUGCACUACUGCCGGCGAGUGACGAACGGGUGAGUAAUAUAUCGGAACGUACCGAGUAAUGGGGGAUAACCAAUCGAAAGAUUGGCUAAUACCGCAUACGUCCUGAGGGAGAAAGCGGGGGAUCGCAAGACCUCGCGUUAUUCGAGCGGCCGAUAACUGAUUAGCUAGUUGGUGGGGUAAAGGCCUACCAAGGCGACGAUCAGUAGCGGGUCUGAGAGGACGAUCCGCCACACUGGGACUGAGACACGGCCCAGACUCCUACGGGAGGCAGCAGUGGGGAAUUUUGGACAAUGGGGGCAACCCUGAUCCAGCCAUGCCGCGUGUAUGAAGAAGGCCUUCGGGUUGUAAAGUACUUUUGUUAGGGAAGAAAAGGGAAGUGCUAAUACCACUUUUUGCUGACGGUACCUAAAGAAUAAGCACCGGCUAACUACGUG